UUGUUUUUCAUCAAAUUUUUAAGUAUAUUUUAGAUUGAAAAAGUAUGUGCGCACCCAAGAAGUGAGAUUUUGUCAAUAGUUAUAAUAAAGCUUCUGUUAAAUUAUUUUGUUGUUUCUUGGCUGCGCACGAUAUUUCCACAACAGAAAUUAAAGAUAGAAAACUGCAUAAAUUCUGUAUUUUUCAUCAUUUUUGUGAAAACAGUACAUAUUAUGAAGUAAUUGUGACGUCAUCACAUAUAAAUCUUAAUGUUUUUCAUUGAUAUUUCUUGACCCUAUGCAUUUCUAAACAUUAUGUGCCAAUUUGAGAAAGUUAUCAAACAUUUUAUUUUCUUGGGCCAAAACCAGGCCUUAAUGCCCCUUCGCCUUUGUAUGAGACAAAAUGUUGGUGAAGAUCUUUUAUUUUUAAAUUAAGGUCAAGUAACAGUAAAUGAACGCCGUCUAGCGGAUUCCGCGAAAUAUUGCGACGUUUUGUACGAAUUACGUCCCUUUGACCAGAUUUUGCAAUGUUAAAAUUGCACCCGGCGACUUUUCGAUGGGACAACGUCAACGGUAAAUUUGACGGAAAGUAUGUUACUUCUAGGAGAAUGAACUUGUUUUUCUAAAAUUAAAAAUUGAAAAUGAAUAUGAAAACAGUCCUGAAGACGAUCUUCAAAAUGAAAAUCAGGACAUAGGGUGGUAGAGUUUGUAUAUCUGCCGACC
RNAcentral lists this long non-coding RNA (699 nucleotides) under Mytilus galloprovincialis (Mediterranean mussel). Lineage: Eukaryota; Metazoa; Mollusca; Bivalvia; Mytilida; Mytilidae. The record is from RNAcentral.